UUCACUGUUCAUCCGCGCC
RNAcentral lists this non-coding RNA (19 nucleotides) under Arabidopsis thaliana (thale cress). Lineage: Eukaryota; Viridiplantae; Streptophyta; Magnoliopsida; Brassicales; Brassicaceae. The record is from RNAcentral.